CGAGCGGCGGACGGGUGAGUAAUACUUAGGAAUCUACCUAGUAGUGGGGGAUAGCACGGGGAAACUCGUAUUAAUACCGCAUACGACCUACGGGAGAAAGGGGGCAGUUUACUGCUCUCGCUAUUAGAUGAGCCUAAGUCGGAUUAGCUAGAUGGUGGGGUAAAGGCCUACCAUGGCGACGAUCUGUAGCUGGUCUGAGAGGAUGAUCAGCCACACCGGGACUGAGACACGGCCCGGACUCCUACGGGAGGCAGCAGUGGGGAAUAUUGGACAAUGGGGGAAACCCUGAUCCAGCCAUGCCGCGUGUGUGAAGAAGGCCUUUUGGUUGUAAAGCACUUUAAGCAGUGAAGAAGACUCCAUGGUUAAUACCCAUGGACGAUGACAUUAGCUGCAGAAUAAGCACCGGCUAACUCUGUGCCAGCAGCCGCGGUAAUACAGAGGGUGCAAGCGUUAAUCGGAAUUACUGGGCGUAAAGGGAGCGUAGGUGGCUCGAUAAGUCAGAUGUGAAAUCCCCGGGCUCAACCUGGGAACUGCAUCUGAUACUGUUGAGCUAGAGUAUGUGAGAGGAAGGUAGAAUUCCAGGUGUAGCGGUGAAAUGCGUAGAGAUCUGGAGGAAUACCGAUGGCGAAGGCAGCCUUCUGGCAUAAUACUGACACUGAGGCUCGAAAGCGUGGGUAGCAAACAGGAUUAGAUACCCUGGUAGUCCACGCCGUAAACGAUGUCUACUAGUCGUUGGGUCCCUUGAGGACUUAGUGACGCAGCUAACGCAAUAAGUAGACCGCCUGGGGAGUACGGCCGCAAGGUUAAAACUCAAAUGAAUUGACGGGGGCCCGCACAAGCGGUGGAGCAU
This 850-nucleotide ribosomal RNA is filed under the name Psychrobacter arcticus. RNAcentral describes it as "bacterial SSU rRNA". It matches the Rfam family "Bacterial small subunit ribosomal RNA", at positions 92 to 940 of the family's 1533-position model. The record is from RNAcentral. Lineage: Bacteria; Pseudomonadati; Pseudomonadota; Gammaproteobacteria; Moraxellales; Moraxellaceae.